This 465-nucleotide ribosomal RNA is filed under the name uncultured bacterium. Its description in RNAcentral is "partial 16S ribosomal RNA". It matches the Rfam family "Bacterial small subunit ribosomal RNA", at positions 31 to 507 of the family's 1533-position model. The record is from RNAcentral.
GAACGCUGGCGGCGUGCUUAACACAUGCAAGUCGAACGGAAAGGCCCUGCUUUUGUGGGGUGCUCGAGUGGCGAACGGGUGCGUAACACGUGAGUAACCUGCCCUUGACUUUGGGAUAACUUCAGGAAACUGGGGCUAAUACCGGAUAGGAGCUCCUGCUGCAUGGUGGGGGUUGGAAAGUUUCGGCGGUUGGGGAUGGACUCGCGGCUUAUCAGCUUGUUGGUGGGGUAGUGGCUUACCAAGGCUUUGACGGGUAGCCGGCCUGAGAGGGUGACCGGCCACAUUGGGACUGAGAUACGGCUCAGACUCCUACGGGAGGCAGCAGUGGGGAAUAUUGCACAAUGGGCGGAAGCCUGAUGCAGCAACGCCGCGUGCGGGAUGACGGCCUUCGGGUUGUAAACCGCUUUCGCCUGUGACGAAGCGUGAGUGACGGUAAUGGGUAAAGAAGCACCGGCUAACUACGUG